AUCCAGCUGACGAGUCCAAAAUAGGACAAAACAGGCUACCUGGAU
RNAcentral lists this non-coding RNA (45 nucleotides) under Schistosoma mattheei. The record is from RNAcentral. Lineage: Eukaryota; Metazoa; Platyhelminthes; Trematoda; Strigeidida; Schistosomatidae.